AUGGACGACCCUGUACCACAAGGUCAGGAUACCUAUGUUGAUCCACCAGAAGUUAACCCGGCUAGUCCUCAUGCCGAUCCACCAAGCCCAAUUGCUGACCCUCCAAAUCUAGUCGCUGAUCCGCCGAGCCCAGCCAAAGCUACAGACAAACCCGUGAGCCCAAAUAAAACAACUGAUGAUGUUGUGAUUACCGGAUUUGGCCACACUUCUCCUGGCAACCCUAUCGCUUUGUCAAAGCACAGUGCCAAAGUGGAAUCUGUUGCUGUGGAGAAAGGCAAAUGGAGGACUGAUUUGUCAAGCUAUGCUCAUCUCAGUGCUCAGGAGCUCCAUUCCGGAUUUCUAAACCGCAUGAACACAAGUCGUGACUAUGAGGCCGGUUUAGUCAACAUGAUGAAGGAACGCUAUGAGGUAACUUCCAUUCCAAACCCCUUUAUAAAUUAUCUUUAUACUGUAUAUCAACUCCACUGUAGCCCGCAAGGGUCGGUUUAUCUUUUCAAGAUGAACCCGAACUUUGGAUAA
This 519-nucleotide ribosomal RNA is filed under the name Triticum aestivum (bread wheat). RNAcentral describes it as "partial small subunit ribosomal RNA". Lineage: Eukaryota; Viridiplantae; Streptophyta; Magnoliopsida; Poales; Poaceae. The record is from RNAcentral.